This 527-nucleotide ribosomal RNA is filed under the name uncultured bacterium. RNAcentral describes it as "bacterial SSU rRNA". It matches the Rfam family "Bacterial small subunit ribosomal RNA", at positions 20 to 518 of the family's 1533-position model. The record is from RNAcentral.
UGGCUCAGGACGAACGCUGGCGGCGUGCCUAAUACAUGCAAGUCGAACGGUCGUUUCUAUGGAAGCUUGCUUCCACUGAGAAGAUAGUGGCGAACGGGUGAGUAACACGUGGGUAACCUGCCCAUAAGAGGGGGAUAACAUCCGGAAACGGGUGCUAAUACCGCAUAGUUUUCCUGAUCGCAUGAUCGGAAAGGAAAGACGGCCUUUGUGCUGUCGCUUAUGGAUGGACCCGCGGCGUAUUAGUUAGUUGGUGAGGUAACGGCUCACCAAGACGAUGAUACGUAGCCGACCUGAGAGGGUGAUCGGCCACAUUGGGACUGAGACACGGCCCAAACUCCUACGGGAGGCAGCAGUAGGGAAUCUUCCGCAAUGGACGAAAGUCUGACGGAGCAACGCCGCGUGAGUGAAGAAAAGGUUUUUCGGAUCGUAAAACUCUGUUGUCAGAGAAGAACAAGUUGGAGAGUAACUGCUCCAGCCUUGACGGUAUCUGACCAGAAAGCCACGGCUAACUACGUGCCAGCAGCCGC